Molecule: ribosomal RNA, 253 nt
Filed under: uncultured bacterium
Lineage: Bacteria
Description: partial 16S ribosomal RNA
Rfam family: Bacterial small subunit ribosomal RNA
Source: RNAcentral
UACAGAGGGUGCGAGCGUUAAUCGGAAUUACUGGGCGUAAAGCGUGCGUAGACGGUUAUUUAAGUCGGGUGUGAAAGCCCCGGGCUCAACCUGGGAAUUGCAUUCGAGACUGAAUAGCUAGGGUACGGUAGAGGGAAGUGGAAUUUCCGGUGUAGCGGUGAAAUGCGUAGAUAUCGGGAGGAACACCGGUGGCGAAGGCGGCGACCUGGGUAGAUACUGACGCUGAGGUGCGAAAGCGUGGGGAGCAAACAGG